GGGACAGACUGAAGAGGAGACCAGUGAUGGCUUCGGAAAGGCUCAGAUGAGUGAGAAGAUGCCUUGACAUCAGGUAAGACUGGAUUAAGUUGGUGCUCUGAAGCCCCAAGUUCAGCCAAGAGAAGAGGCUCUACCACUGGGCGGGGUUGAGGGUUUCCCCAAAUUACAUUAUCAAUGAGAUUUGUUUAUUUGGAGGGAAAAGACACUGAGGUCCAGGAGGUUUGGGGAACAGUGGGAUAAGCCAGGCUAGACCAGUUUCUUCACCGCAGGAUUUCUCAGAACCUAUAAAAUGCUAAUGGGGGUGCUGAAGCUCCAAAGGGGAGACAGGUAUGCAAUUUAACCACAUCUUUUUUUUUUUUUUUUUCCACAGAGCAUCUCUUGGGCCUGGUGCAUGGUGGAACACACCUUAGGAAAUGCAGUCUGAUGUCAUAGCGGAAAAUGAUCUUCACGGGGUCCAGAAUUUGAUAACACAUCAACAAAAGAAGAAAUCUAUGUCAUCCAGCCCAAUCUUCAACAUUCUCUAUGAGUCCCAGAAAGGGUGUGUGCCUUACCUUAGGUCACACAGCUACUAAUGGUCAAGUGAAUCUCAAGCACUUAACAAUAUCAAGCUCGCUGUUCAUAGCCAGCAUCAAGAACGAAAUUUUAGGAACCUGAGAUUCUUUUUCAUAAAAACCUGCCUUGAUUUGCUCUACAUGGGGCUACUACUCUUUCACAAGGUGCCCAAAUCACCUUUCCUGCCUUGUUAUCUUUUAAAGGAAGGAUGUAAGAAGCAGUGGGAGAGCAGGUAUCAGGAGAGGAGGACCCUGAUAGAACAAGGAGACAGAUGGAGGCUUAGCUGGCUGCAUGCUGAACUGAGCACCUCUCUGGCAGGAGAGAAGGGAGCUGGGUCCCUGACUGUUUACUUCCAUGGAAGUUCACCUGAAUUUUGCUCCUGGGACAGAAUGGGAUAUUCCCGCCCAAUUCUGGCUGUGCACAUUUCUUCCCAAGAACCUCCGUCUCUGCCCUAUCUAUAUAUGGAAACACAUCUGACAACAGCAGCAGACAAGAAAGAUUUUUGUUCUCUCAGAACGCAGAAAAAUUCUCCGUCAGCAGCCGUUUUUUUCAGUGUUUGGUGCAUUGAUGUGUGGGCUACAUAG
RNAcentral lists this long non-coding RNA (1136 nucleotides) under Sus scrofa (pig). RNAcentral's name for it is "lncRNA (ENSSSCG00005025338.1)". Lineage: Eukaryota; Metazoa; Chordata; Mammalia; Artiodactyla; Suidae. The record is from RNAcentral.